GAGGGCCCCGUGGCGGGGUCUAAGUGGCUUUCACUGCAGACUUCUUUUAGAAGUUACCAGGAGGGCCCCAAAGGUGUGCCUAGAGAUCCUGGAGCUGUCCAGUGUCCCCAGGUGGGAAGGGCCAGAGCCAAAGACAUCUGCAGGGGCUACGGAAGUAGCAAGCGAAGUGGGGACGCAUGUGCAGAGAUGCGCCCGGUCGGCGCACACAAUCUGCCAACAGCCCGGACCCCGAUGAAUCGCGAAGGCGGAGCCUGAAGCGUCUCAAAGCACCGGAGGAACUCUCCACCCAUCCCCCUUCCUCCUCCGCGAGGCAGGGGCCCCGGAUUCUAGCCCCGGCUCUACCAUUUACUGCCACGGACCCUUGGGCAAGUCACUUCCCUUCUCUGGGCCUUAGUCUCCUCCCUUGUAAAAGUGGGCGAGUAGGACUAAUGGAACGCCCCAGGCCCCAGGGUGCUGAGCCGUGCUCCCACGGCGGGACAGGAACUGGGGACAAGGCCCAGAGUUGGUUGGCAGGGUGGAAGGGGAGGCUACAGAGAAAGGGCGAGACAUAAUCCUUGCCCCGGAAAAGGUUCAUCAGGAAGUUAGAGAAGAGAAGGAUGGUGACAGAGAGCCUGGCCCAUCCUGCAGGGUCCCCUCUUGUGCCCUUGGCUGCACAGCUGGGCUCCUGGUUUAGAUUUUCUCCCGGGGGUAGGCAAAACGUCAACUCCCUUUGUCCCCAUGCUCAUCAUCCUUUGUCACCUUGCCCUUAGGGCCUGUGGUCCUACCUCUCCCUGAGAAUGAACUUCCCCCCACCACACGCAUUCUUUUCUCGUCCAGAUCUCCCUGCACUUUCAUAAUCCUCCUCCUCCUGGAAGUCCUCCCUGACCUCCACUUCCAUGUCACUCCCCGCUGGCCUGGGUGCAAAGUCCCCUGAGCUGACGGCUGUCAAG
Herpailurus yagouaroundi (jaguarundi) is the source of this 929-nucleotide long non-coding RNA. RefSeq lists it as uncharacterized. The transcript is spliced from 2 exons. Lineage: Eukaryota; Metazoa; Chordata; Mammalia; Carnivora; Felidae. The record is from RefSeq and is a predicted model, not a curated record.